RNAcentral lists this transfer RNA (63 nucleotides) under Caudoviricetes sp. RNAcentral describes it as "tRNA-Arg". It matches the Rfam family "tRNA", at positions 9 to 65 of the family's 71-position model. Rfam says of the family: Transfer RNA (tRNA) molecules are approximately 80 nucleotides in length. Their secondary structure includes four short double-helical elements and three loops (D, anti-codon, and T loops). Further hydrogen bonds mediate the characteristic L-shaped molecular structure. tRNAs have two regions of fundamental functional importance: the anti-codon, which is responsible for specific mRNA codon recognition, and the 3' end, to which the tRNAs corresponding amino acid is attached (by aminoacyl-tRNA synthetases). tRNAs cope with the degeneracy of the genetic code in two manners: having more than one tRNA (with a specific anti-codon) for a particular amino acid; and 'wobble' base-pairing, i.e. permitting non-standard base-pairing at the 3rd anti-codon position. Lineage: Duplodnaviria; Heunggongvirae; Uroviricota; Caudoviricetes. The record is from RNAcentral.
AGUAAAGUAAUUAUUUAUAACAGCCUUCUAAGCUGUGGGUCUUGGGUUCGAAUCCCAACGGAA